UCUCUGUGAUGAUUAAAACGAUGACGAGUCCGAUAUCCAUUCCAUUCACCCUGACGACGAAUCGAGGCAUUUGUCUGAGAGAA
Small nucleolar RNA from Camellia sinensis, 83 nucleotides. The record is from RefSeq and is a predicted model, not a curated record. Lineage: Eukaryota; Viridiplantae; Streptophyta; Magnoliopsida; Ericales; Theaceae.